GAUGAACGCUGGCGGCGUGCCUAAUACAUGCAAGUCGAGCGAACGGACGAGAAGCUUGCUUCUCUGAUGUUAGCGGCGGACGGGUGAGUAACACGUGGAUAACCUACCUAUAAGACUGGGAUAACUUCGGGAAACCGUAGCUAAUACCGGAUAAUAUUUUGAACCGCAUGGUUCAAAAGUGAAAGACGGUCUUGCUGUCACUUAUAGAUGGAUCCGCGCUGCAUUAGCUAGUUGGUAAGGUAACGGCUUACCAAGGCAACGAUGCAUAGCCGACCUGAGAGGGUGAUCGGCCACACUGGAACUGAGACACGGUCCAGACUCCUACGGGAGGCAGCAGUAGGGAAUCUUCCGCAAUGGGCGAAAGCCUGACGGAGCAACGCCGCGUGAGUGAUGAAGGUCUUCGGAUCGUAAAACUCUGUUAUUAGGGAAGAACAUAUGUGUAAGUAACUGUGCACAUCUUGACGGUACCUAAUCAGAAAGCCACGGCUAACUACGUGCCAGCAGCCGCGGUAAUACGUAGGUGGCAAGCGUUAUCCGGAAUUAUUGGGCGUAAAGCGCGCGUAGGCGGUUUUUUAAGUCUGAUGUGAAAGCCCACGGCUCAACCGUGGAGGGUCAUUGGAAACUGGAAAACUUGAGUGCAGAAGAGGAAAGUGGAAUUCCAUGUGUAGCGGUGAAAUGCGCAGAGAUAUGGAGGAACACCAGUGGCGACGGCGACUUUCUGGUCUGUAACUGACGCUGAUGUGCGAAAGCGUGGGGAUCAAACAGGAUUAGAUACCCUGGUAGUCCACGCCGUAAACGAUGAGUGCUAAGUGUUAGGGGGUUUCCGCCCCCUAGUGCUGCAGCUAACGCAUUAAGCACUCCGCCUGGGGAGUACGACCGCAAGGUUGAAACUCAAAGGAAUUGACGGGGACCCGCACAAGCGGUGGAGCAUGUGGUUUAAUUCGAAGCAACGCGAAGAACCUUACCAAAUCUUGACAUCCUUUGACAACUCUAGAGAUAGAGCCUUCCCCUUCGGGGGACAAAGUGACAGGUGGUGCAUGGUUGUCGUCAGCUCGUGUCGUGAGAUGUUGGGUUAAGUCCCGCAACGAGCGCAACCCUUAAGCUUAGUUGCCAUCAUUAAGUUGGGCACUCUAAGUUGACUGCCGGUGACAAACCGGAGGAAGGUGGGGAUGACGUCAAAUCAUCAUGCCCCUUAUGAUUUGGGCUACACACGUGCUACAAUGGACAAUACAAAGGGCAGCGAAACCGCGAGGUCAAGCAAAUCCCAUAAAGUUGUUCUCUGUUCGGAUUGUAGUCUGCAACUCGACUACAUGAAGCUGGAAUCGCUAGUAAUCGUAGAUCAGCAUGCUACGGUGAAUACGUUCCCGGGUCU
This 1372-nucleotide ribosomal RNA is filed under the name uncultured bacterium. RNAcentral's name for it is "bacterial SSU rRNA". It matches the Rfam family "Bacterial small subunit ribosomal RNA", at positions 28 to 1381 of the family's 1533-position model. The record is from RNAcentral.